CGAACGCUGGCGGCAGACCUAAUACAUGCAAGUCGAACGGCUCUUCGGAGCAGUGGCGGACGGGUGAGUAACGCGUGGGAAUGUGCCCUUAGGUACGGAACAACACAGGGAAACUUGUGCUAAUACCGUAUGUGCCCUUCGGGGGAACGAUUUAUCGCCUUUGGAGCAGCCCGCGUUGGAUUAGGUAGUUGGUGAGGUAAAGGCUCACCAAGCCGACGAUCCAUAGCUGGUCUGAGAGGAUGACCAGCCACACUGGGACUGAGACACGGCCCAGACUCCUACGGGAGGCAGCAGUAGGGAAUCUUGCGUAAUGGGCGAAAGCCUGACGCAGCCAUGCCGCGUGUAUGAUGAAGGUCUUAGGAUUGUAAAAUACUUUCACCGGGGAAGAUAAUGACGGUACCCGGAGAAGAAGCCCCGGCUAACUUCGUGCCAGCCGCCGCAGUAA
Molecule: ribosomal RNA, 445 nt
Filed under: uncultured bacterium
Lineage: Bacteria
Description: partial 16S ribosomal RNA
Rfam family: Bacterial small subunit ribosomal RNA
Source: RNAcentral